CCAAUAGCGUAUAUUAAAGUUGUUGCAGUUAAAAAGCUCGUAGUUGAAUUUCGAGAUCAAAUUGUUGGUCGUGCCUCGGUACGUACUGGCAUUAUUGAUUUCUCCUUUCUGAAGAACCUUGAUGUCAUUAAUUUGGUGUCUUGGGGAAUUAGGACCGUUACUUUGAAAAAAUUAGAGUGUUUAAAGCAGGCUCACGCUUGAAUACAUUAGCAUGGAAUAAUGAAAUAGGACGUUUGAUUCUAUUUUGUUGGUUUCUAGGAUCGACGUAAUGAUUAAUAGGGAUAGUUGGGGGCAUUAGUAUUCAAUUGUCAGAGGUGAAAUUCUUGGAUUUAUUGAAGACUAACUACUGCGAAAGCAUUUGCCAAGGAUGUUUUCAUUAAUCAAGAACGAAAGUUAGGGGAUCGAAGACGAUCAGAUACCGUCGUAGUCUUAACCAUAAACUAUGCCGACUAGGGAUCGGAUGAUGUUAAUUUUUUAAUGACUCAUUCGGCGCCUUACG
This 499-nucleotide ribosomal RNA is filed under the name uncultured Glomeromycotina. Its description in RNAcentral is "partial small subunit ribosomal RNA". It matches the Rfam family "Eukaryotic small subunit ribosomal RNA", at positions 591 to 1092 of the family's 1831-position model. Lineage: Eukaryota; Fungi; Glomeromycota. The record is from RNAcentral.